This 253-nucleotide ribosomal RNA is filed under the name uncultured bacterium. RNAcentral's name for it is "partial 16S ribosomal RNA". It matches the Rfam family "Bacterial small subunit ribosomal RNA", at positions 524 to 776 of the family's 1533-position model. The record is from RNAcentral.
UACGGGGGGGGCAAGCGUUGUUCGGAAUUACUGGGCGUAAAGGGCUCGUAGGCGGCCAACUAAGUCGGACGUGAAAUCCCUCGGCUUAACCGGGGAACUGCGUCCGAUACUGGAUGGCUUGAGUUCGGGAGAGGGAUGCGGAAUUCCAGGUGUAGCGGUGAAAUGCGUAGAUAUCAGGAGGAACACCUGUGGCGAAAGCGGCUCACUGGACCACAACUGACGCUGAUGCACGAAAGCUAGGGGAGCAAACAGG